GCCGAAAGAGCUCAGUUGGGAAGAGUGUUAGACUGAAGAUUAAAAGGUCUCUGGUUCAAUCCCGGGUUUUGGCA
Non-coding RNA from Pelobates cultripes (western spadefoot toad), 74 nucleotides. NCBI's taxonomy places the organism in Eukaryota, Metazoa, Chordata, Amphibia, Anura, Pelobatidae. The record is from the annotation of a GenBank genome assembly.